RNAcentral lists this ribosomal RNA (253 nucleotides) under uncultured bacterium. Its description in RNAcentral is "partial 16S ribosomal RNA". It matches the Rfam family "Bacterial small subunit ribosomal RNA", at positions 524 to 776 of the family's 1533-position model. The record is from RNAcentral.
UACGUAGGGGGCAAGCGUUGUCCGGAUUUAUUGGGCGUAAAGCGCUCGCAGGCGGCUCGAUGCGUCGUGCGUGAAAGACCCCGGCUCAACUGGGGAGGGUCGUGCGAUACGGUCGAGCUCGAGGCCAGUAGGGGGACGCGGAAUUCCGGGUGUAGUGGUGGAAUGCGUAGAGAUCCGGAAGAACACCGGUGGCGACGGCGGCCUGCUGGGCAGUAGCUGACACUGAGGCGCGACAGCGUGGGGAGCAAACAGG